Long non-coding RNA from Octopus sinensis (East Asian common octopus), 215 nucleotides. RefSeq lists it as uncharacterized. Lineage: Eukaryota; Metazoa; Mollusca; Cephalopoda; Octopoda; Octopodidae. The record is from RefSeq and is a predicted model, not a curated record. The transcript is spliced from 3 exons.
AAAAGAGCACACUUGGUUAUAUUAACAUUAUUACUUCACUGGUAUUUAUUUUAUCAAUCUUGGAAGGAUGGAAAGUAAAAUUGAUGAAAGCAAAAAUUUAAAUUUAAAAACGAGUAAAUCCACAAUUAAAUGCUGUGAAGUAUUUUGUUCAACAUUGUACUGAUUCUGGCAAUCCACCCACUUCCUAUUCUUACAAGCAGGCUUGUUUGCAUCUU